UUUCCACCUUGGUAAAAGUGGUAACCCGAACUCGGCAACCUAUUUUUCUUUAUAUCUCUGUAUUAUAUGAAUUCUUGAAUGGACACUCAGACUUCGUUUGAAGAAAAUCAUCUUUCAUAUUAAAACACAAAGAUUUUUUUCCAAGCUGUAUAAAACAUAACGAUUUAUUUCAUUUCUAAGCGAAUAGGUGGAAAACCGAACCCGAAAGGGAGACCACUCGUUUUUUUAAUAGAAUGCGCAGGAAAAUGACGGAAUAAAACUGUAUCGGAUUCCGGAUGGACUUUGGUAUAAACCCGGGCUCUUGAAAAAUUUUAACAACGUCGGUGGUAAUAGGACUAUUGUCCGAAAAAAAACAGUAAAAAUAACAAAAAGAC
RNAcentral lists this long non-coding RNA (374 nucleotides) under Mytilus galloprovincialis (Mediterranean mussel). Lineage: Eukaryota; Metazoa; Mollusca; Bivalvia; Mytilida; Mytilidae. The record is from RNAcentral.